Molecule: long non-coding RNA, 1112 nt
Organism: Diospyros lotus (date-plum)
Lineage: Eukaryota; Viridiplantae; Streptophyta; Magnoliopsida; Ericales; Ebenaceae
Exons: 2
Source: RefSeq, a predicted model, not a curated record
UGCAGAGUGGGCGAGGGUUCCAAAAUGGCGAUCAGAUUCAGGAUGAGGCUCGAUCAGAGAGCUGGGGAUUUGCGGAGGCUGUUGCCCCUCUUCGUAGAUGCCGAUCUCUGUCUUCUCAGAUCGAUCAGCUUCGCCUGAGAGCCGAUGAUUCAGUUCUCAAACUCAACAGCCCCUUUCGGUAAGAAUAUCACCAUCUUAUAAGCUUCACUAAUAGCUUAAUAAGCGGUCAAACCGCUAAGCCAAAGGCUAAAGACACAUCCAUGCCCUAACUACUUGACAGGUAAAGAAUUGAACCUACGAUGAUGUGAAUCUCAACUCAUCAUGCCCUAACUACUUAGACUUGUGUCGUAGAGGCCACAUCCAUGCCCUUAAACUUUGCCCGUUUAACUAAUUGUGUCCCUGAACUUGAAGGGAGACGUAUUGUGCCCCUCAAGUUUUAAUUUAGGACCUGUUAGACAUCACGAUCUGUUUUGUUUGAUUGCGGUUUCUGUUCUUAAGACCUGGUUUCCGAAUCAGAAAACAGAUCGGCCGUUGCCUUCCGUUCUGUUUCUUCUCUUUCUAUGAAUCCAUUUUAUUUCUUAGUAAUGGAAAAGAAAGGAAAAGAGUAGAAUGGAAGUAUUGCCAUUCCAUGCUUUCUUCCAAACGUACUGUAAAUAUGGUGGCCCGGAAAAUGAACCCGACUGAGGCUUUGCUGUUCUCACAGAGAGAUGGGAUGUUUCUUGAGGGUGGUUGCCCCUCUCUGUGCUGGUAUUCGAAGCCGAUGAUUUUAGAUCCAUCUCCAAAAUCAACGGCCCUUUGGGUGUGUGUGUGUUGGCGCACGUUACUCUUGUGUUCGUGCAUUCACAUUUAUAUACAUACAUGCAUACAUAUAUCAGCAUUUGCUUCUUGUUCUGUCCUUCAAUUCCAAGUUCUUAAAAGGGGCUAUGAUGAUGAGCUUCCUGGGUCCAGAUCAGUGUUGGCUGGGUGGGAUCCGACCCUUUUCUUGGCGGGGCAACCCGGAUGGCCAGUGAUCCAAGAAAUUAAUCGGGUGAUAUAUAUAUAUAUAUAUAGAUACAGAGGAUGUUUGGCUUAUCCUUUUUUUUAAUCGGGUGAUAAGAUAUUGCAAGUGGUCA